RNAcentral lists this long non-coding RNA (416 nucleotides) under Fragaria vesca (wild strawberry). RNAcentral's name for it is "long non-coding RNA (FVES_LNC002880)". The record is from RNAcentral. Lineage: Eukaryota; Viridiplantae; Streptophyta; Magnoliopsida; Rosales; Rosaceae.
UUGAGUUUGGCCGUAGUAAACUGCAGCCACGAAGUGGAGGGAUAAGUGUGGAAAAUAGUCCUCUAAUCCCAUUGAACGGGUAGCUUCUUUUAUGUCGAGUUAUCCUCCCUUAAAGCAUGGAAUUGAAGCUCCUUAAAAUGUAAAAAUUGGGUCUACUUGAAGAGUCGUUGAAGUGCUAGCUGAAGACAAAGAGCCAUCACCUGCUUGAACAUCAACUUGGAGUGCCCUGAAAAAUCAAUUCUAUUCCUAAUCUCGGAAAAUCUCAUCUUGUUCCUUGGUAUGCUGCAAAAUGUCAAGGAAAAGUUGAUGAGUACAGAUUCCUAUCAGGACAAAGAGAGCAACAGAAACAGAGGUUAUACCUUUCCAUGCAAUACUUUGAAGGAUGCUUCUAACCGAAAGCCUAUGUUUUCUGAAAG